UUAGAGUUUGAUCCUGGCUCAGGACGAACGCUGGCGGCGUGCUUAACACAUGCAAGUCGAGCGGUAAGGCCCUUUCGGGGGUACACGAGCGGCGGACGGGUGAGUAACACGUAGGUAAUUUUCCUUCCAGCGGGGGACAACGUUCCGAAAGGGACGCUAAUACCGCGUACGUUUCUCGGGACUCCGGUCCUGAGAAGGAAAGCUAGGUAGCAAUAUCCGGCACUGGAUGAGAAGCCUGCGUAGCAUCAGCUUGUUGGUGGGGUGAUGGCCUACCAAGGCGACGACGGGUAGCCGGCCUGAGAGGGCGACCGGCCACACUGGGACUGAGACACGGCCCAGACUCCUACGGGAGGCAGCAGUGGGGAAUAUUGCGCAAUGGGCGGAAGCCUGACGCAGCGACGCCGCGUGAU
Molecule: ribosomal RNA, 410 nt
Filed under: uncultured bacterium
Lineage: Bacteria
Description: bacterial SSU rRNA
Rfam family: Bacterial small subunit ribosomal RNA
Source: RNAcentral